AGAGUUUGAUCCUGGCUCAGGAUGAACGCUAGCGGCAGGCUUAAUACAUGCAAGUCGAACGGUAACAGUUCCAGCAAUGGAAGCUGACGAGUGGCGAACGGGUGCGUAACACGUGUGCAACCUACCUAUAACAAGAGGAUAGCCCUGAGAAAUUGGGAUUAAUACUUUAUAUGAUUAUUUAAAGACAUCUUGAAAUAAUUAAAGCUUCGGCGGUUAUAGAUGGGCACGCGCAACAUUAGCUAGUUGGAGAGGUAACGGCUCACCAAGGCAACGAUGUUUAGGGGUUCUGAGAGGAUUAUCCCCCACACUGGUACUGAGACACGGACCAGACUCCUACGGGAGGCAGCAGUAAGGAAUAUUGGUCAAUGGACGCAAGUCUGAACCAGCCAUGCCGCGUGAAGGAUGACAGCCUUAUGGGUUGUAAACUUCUUUUAUACAGGAAAAAUAUCAGGGACUUGUCCUUGCUUGAUGGUACUGUAAGAAUAAGGAUCGGCUAACUCCGUGCCAGCAGCCGCGGUAAUACGGAGGAUCCAAGCGUUAUCCGGAUUUAUUGGGUUUAAAGGGUGCGUAGGCGGGUUUUUAAGUCAGUGGUGAAAUCUCUCGGCUCAACCGAGAAACUGCCAUUGAUACUAUUGACCUUGAGUACAAUUGAAGUGGGCGGAAUGUGUCAUGUAGCGGUGAAAUGCAUAGAGAUGACACAGAACACCGAUAGCGAAGGCAGCUCACUAAACUGUAACUGACGCUGAAGCACGAAAGCGUGGGGAUCAAACAGGAUUAGAUACCCUGGUAGUCCACGCUGUAAACGAUGAUUACUCGAUGUGUGCGAUACACUGUACGCGUCUAAGCGAAAGCGUUAAGUAAUCCACCUGGGGAGUACGAUCGCAAGAUUGAAACUCAAAGGAAUUGACGGGGGCCCGCACAAGCGGAGGAGCAUGUGGUUUAAUUCGAUGAUACGCGAGGAACCUUACCUAGGCUUAAAUGAUGAUUGACCGUUGCUGAAAGGCAAAAUCUCGUAAGAGCAAUCAUUAAGGUGCUGCAUGGCUGUCGUCAGCUCGUGCCGUGAGGUGUUUGGUUAAGUCCAGCAACGAGCGCAACCCCUAUUCUUAGUUACCAUCAGGUUAUGCUGGGGACUCUAAGAAAACUGCCCGCGCAAGCGGAGAGGAAGGUGGGGAUGACGUCAAGUCAGCACGGCCCUUACGUCUAGGGCUACACACGUGCUACAAUGGCCGGUACAAAGGGCAGCUACAUGGUGACAUGAUGCUAAUCUCAAAAACCGGUCUCAGUUCGGAUCGAAGUCUGCAACUCGACUUCGUGAAGUUGGAUUCGCUAGUAAUCGUAUAUCAGCAAUGAUACGGUGAAUACGUUCCCGGGCCUUGUACACACCGCCCGUCAAGCCAUGGAAGUUGGGGGGACCUGAAGUCGAUGACCGAAAGGAGUCGCCUAGGGUAAAACCAAUAACUAGGGCUAAGUCGAAACAAGGUA
RNAcentral lists this ribosomal RNA (1482 nucleotides) under metagenome. Its description in RNAcentral is "bacterial SSU rRNA". It matches the Rfam family "Bacterial small subunit ribosomal RNA". The record is from RNAcentral.